AGUGAACGCUGGCGGUAGGCCUAACACAUGCAAGUCGAACGGCAGCACAGUAAGAGCUUGCUCUUACGGGUGGCGGGUGGCGGACGGGUGAGGAAUACAUCGGAAUCUACUUUUUCGUGGGGGAUAACGUAGGGAAACUUACGCUAAUACCGCAUACGACCUACGGGUGAAAGCAGGGGAUCUUCGGACCUUGCGCGAUUGAAUGAGCCGAUGUCGGAUUAGCUAGUUGGCGGGGUAAAGGCCCACCAAGGCGACGAUCCGUAGCUGGUCUGAGAGGAUGAUCAGCGACACUGGAACUGAGACACGGUCCAGACUCUUACGGGAGGCAGCAGUGGGGAAUAUUGGACAAUGGGCGCAAGCCUGAUCCAGCCAUACCGCGUGGGUGGAGAAGGCCUUCGGGUUGUAAAGCCCUUUUGUUGGGAAAGAAAAGCAGCAGGUUAAUACCCCGCUGUUCUGACGGUACCCAAAGAAUAAGCACCGGCUAACUUCGUG
This 492-nucleotide ribosomal RNA is filed under the name uncultured bacterium. RNAcentral's name for it is "partial 16S ribosomal RNA". It matches the Rfam family "Bacterial small subunit ribosomal RNA", at positions 29 to 507 of the family's 1533-position model. The record is from RNAcentral.